CCUACGGGUGGCAGCAGUGAGGAAUAUUGGUCAAUGGCCGCAGGGCUGAACCAGCCAAGUCGCGUGAGGGAUGACGGUCCUAUGGAUUGUAAACCUCUUUUGUCAGGGAGCAAAGGGCGCCACGUGUGGCGUUUUGCGAGUACCUGAAGAAAAAGCAUCGGCUAACUCCGUGCCAGCAGCCGCGGUAAUACGGAGGAUCCGAGCGUUAUCCGGAUUUAUUGGGUUUAAAGGGAGCGUAGGUGGAUUGUUAAGUCAGUUGUGAAAGUUUGCGGCUCAACCGUAAAAUUGCAGUUGAAACUGGCAGUCUUGAGUACAGUAGAGGUGGGCGGAAUUCGUGGUGUAGCGGUGAAAUGCUUAGAUAUCACGAAGAACUCCGAUUGCGAAGGCAGCUCACUGGACUGCAACUGACACUGAUGCUCGAAAGUGUGGGUAUCAAACAGGAUUAGAUACCCCUGUAGUC
Molecule: ribosomal RNA, 460 nt
Filed under: uncultured bacterium
Lineage: Bacteria
Description: partial 16S ribosomal RNA
Rfam family: Bacterial small subunit ribosomal RNA
Source: RNAcentral